AUUGAACGCUGGCGGCAGGCCUAACACAUGCAAGUCGAGCGGAUGAAGGGAGCUUGCUCCUGGAUUCAGCGGCGGACGGGUGAGUAAUGCCUAGGAAUCUGCCUGGUAGUGGGGGAUAACGUCCGGAAACGGGCGCUAAUACCGCAUACGUCCUGAGGGAGAAAGUGGGGGAGCUUCGGACCUCACGCUAUCAGAUGAGCCUAGGUCGGAUUAGCUAGUUGGUGGGGUAAAGGCCUACCAAGGCGACGAUCCGUAACUGGUCUGAGAGGAUGAUCAGUCACACUGGAACUGAGACACGGUCCAGACUCCUACGGGAGGCAGCAGUGGGGAAUAUUGGACAAUGGGCGCAAGCCUGAUCCAGCCAUGCCGCGUGUGUGAAGAAGGUCUUCGGAUUGUAAAGCCCUUUAAGUUGGGAGGAAGGGCAGUAAGUUAAUACCUUGCUGUUUUGACGUUACCAACAGAAUAAGCACCGGCUAACUUCGUG
RNAcentral lists this ribosomal RNA (484 nucleotides) under uncultured bacterium. RNAcentral describes it as "partial 16S ribosomal RNA". It matches the Rfam family "Bacterial small subunit ribosomal RNA", at positions 30 to 507 of the family's 1533-position model. The record is from RNAcentral.